UAAAGGUACUUUUUGCUCCAUGAAAAAUUUUAAAUAGCCGCAGUACUCUGACUGUGCUAAGGUAGCAUAAUAAUCUGUCUCUUAAUUAGAUUCUUGUAUAAACGAGACCACGACACUUUUACUUUUCUAAAAAUUUUAAUAAAAAUUAAUAUUUGUUUCAAAAAAAACAACUCCCCGAGUAGACGACAAGACCCCGUGAAACUUUAUUUUUAAUUUAUUUUUGCGCCCGGAAAUUAUAACUGUAAAAAAAAAAAUUAAGCUGGGGCGGCAUUAAAAAGACCUUUAUAUAGAAAACAAAAAUUCUUGACUCAGUAGAUCUUAUUUAAUAAAAUAUAAAAUAAGUUACUCCGGGGAUAACAGCACAAUUUUUUUGAAUAGACCAGAUAGAUAAAAAAGACUUGUGACCUCGAUGUUGAAUUGGAGAGCCGGGGUUGAGUAGAAAAAACCUUUGGGGGUCUGUUCGACCUUUAAUCCUCC
Molecule: ribosomal RNA, 477 nt
Filed under: Chelator sp. VTDes137
Lineage: Eukaryota; Metazoa; Arthropoda; Malacostraca; Isopoda; Desmosomatidae
Description: partial 16S ribosomal RNA
Rfam family: Bacterial large subunit ribosomal RNA
Source: RNAcentral